Molecule: non-coding RNA, 126 nt
Filed under: Suricata suricatta (meerkat)
Lineage: Eukaryota; Metazoa; Chordata; Mammalia; Carnivora; Herpestidae
Source: RNAcentral
GUGUUGUAUGAAAGAAGAGAAGGUUAGCACUCCCCUUGACAAGGAUGGAGGAGGCCCUCGGGCAUGACAACAUGCAUACGGUUAAGGCACUGGGACCUACUUCCUGGCAUCUAACCAACGUUUUUU